RNAcentral lists this ribosomal RNA (459 nucleotides) under uncultured bacterium. RNAcentral describes it as "partial 16S ribosomal RNA". It matches the Rfam family "Bacterial small subunit ribosomal RNA", at positions 338 to 795 of the family's 1533-position model. The record is from RNAcentral.
CCUACGGGCGGCAGCAGUGAGGAAUAUUGGUCAAUGGGCGGGAGCCUGAACCAGCCAAGCCGCGUGAGGGAAGAAGGUACAGCGUAUCGUAAACCUCUUUUGUCAGGGAACAAAGGCGGGGACUAGUCCCCGGAUGAGUGUACCUGAAGAAAAAGCAUCGGCUAACUCCGUGCCAGCAGCCGCGGUAAUACGGAGGAUGCGAGCGUUAUCCGGAUUUAUUGGGGUUAAAGGGUGCGCAGGCGGUCUGUUAAGUCAGCGGUCAAAGCCCGGGGCUCAACCCCGGCCCGCCGUUGAAACUGGCAGUCUCGAGUUGGAGAGAAGUAUGCGGAAUGCGCGGUGUAGCGGUGAAAUGCAUAGAUAUCGCGCAGAACUCCGAUUGCGAAGGCAGCAUGCCGGCUCCACACUGACGCUGAGGCACGAAAGCGUGGGUAUCGAACAGGAUUAGAUACCCGGGUAGUC